Molecule: ribosomal RNA, 644 nt
Filed under: Trichoderma asperellum
Lineage: Eukaryota; Fungi; Ascomycota; Sordariomycetes; Hypocreales; Hypocreaceae
Description: eukaryotic LSU rRNA
Rfam family: Eukaryotic large subunit ribosomal RNA
Source: RNAcentral
UUGACCUCGGAUCAGGUAGGAAUACCCGCUGAACUUAAGCAUAUCAAUAAGCGGAGGAAAAGAAACCAACAGGGAUUGCCCCAGUAACGGCGAGUGAAGCGGCAACAGCUAAAAUUUGAAAUCUGGCCCCUCCGGGUCCGAGUUGUAAUUUGUAGAGGAUGCUUUUGGUGAGGUGCCGCCCGAGUUCCCUGGAACGGGACGCCACAGAGGGUGAGAGCCCCGUCUGGCUGGCCACCGAGCCUCUGUAAAGCUCCUUCGACGAGUCGAGUAGUUUGGGAAUGCUGCUCAAAAUGGGAGGUAUAUGUCUUCUAAAGCUAAAUAUUGGCCAGAGACCGAUAGCGCACAAGUAGAGUGAUCGAAAGAUGAAAAGCACCUUGAAAAGAGGGUUAAACAGUACGUGAAAUUGUUGAAAGGGAAGCGCUUGUGACCAGACUUGGGCGCGGCGGAUCAUCCGGGGUUCUCUCCGGUGCACUUCGCCGCGUUCAGGCCAGCAUCAGUUCGUCGCGGGGGAAAAAGGCUUCGGGAACGUGGCUCCUCCGGGAGUGUUAUAGCCCGUUGCAUAAUACCCUGCGGUGGACUGAGGACCGCGCAUCUGCAAGGAUGCUGGCGUAAUGGUCACCAGCGACCCGUCUUAAACACGGACC